GGGAGAUCCCCCAUGAGCUGAGAUGCAGUGGGCUGUAAAGCUGUGUGGUUGUUCUGGAGGCAAACCCUGUGGAGCUGUGCUGAUUGAUGGUGUCUGGAUGAAGAGCUUAUGCCAUCUACAGAGGCAACCCAAAGAGAUAAUCAUCGCCCGCUGACAACCCCUCGCCAUCCAUCACCCGCGCGCGGCGGCUGUCAGCAGAUCCCAGCCCCUACCUGGGGGGAGAGGCACUGCCACUGAGGCAUCUCACAGCACUGUGCAGCAGGAGGAUGGCAGAUAACUUCAGUCAGCUCGAGAGAUUGAUAUGCAAGGCAAAGGGAAGUGCAUUAAGCUAUUUAACUGCCUGGAAAUCCAGCGUGAUGAACAUCCAAAGGAAAACUUACUUUGUCCAAACCAAGUGCUCAAGUGACAACGAAGUCAAGUGCUUGCAAGAAGUAGACUAAAGGUUGCAGUUGAUUUAAUUUGAAUCAAAAUAGCAAGCAAAACCUGAAGGCCAACCAGACAACAGCAAGGCCUUGGACGUGAAAAUCUCCAGCCCAAGCGAGGAAAGUCUGGCAAAUAAUUCAGUAGCCCUUUGCAAGAAGGCAGAGCUACUGCAUCCACAAUAAUAGCUGUGUUUUACACAAGAAGAGCGCGGUGACCUCAUACUGUUUUGCAACAAAAGAAAGUGGGUCGAGACAAUGACAUUAAAGGUGUUAAAACAUUGAAGAUUGCAGAGAUGGUAAUCUUUGGUUCAAAGAGUUUGCAAACUUUUGCGCUGCCCAACAGAGAUGCCUGAAG
RNAcentral lists this long non-coding RNA (777 nucleotides) under Gallus gallus (chicken). Its description in RNAcentral is "lncRNA (ENSGALG00010020807.1)". The record is from RNAcentral. Lineage: Eukaryota; Metazoa; Chordata; Aves; Galliformes; Phasianidae.